UACAGAGGGUGCGAGCGUUAAUCGGAAUUACUGGGCGUAAAGGGCGCGUAGGCGGUGUAUUAAGUUAGAUGUGAAAUCCCUGGGCUUAACCUAGGAACUGCAUCUAAUACUGGUACGCUAGAGUGCUGUAGAGGAUAGUGGAAUUUCCGGUGUAGCGGUGAAAUGCGUAGAUAUCGGAAGGAACACCAGUGGCGAAGGCGGCUAUCUGGACAGACACUGACGCUGAGGCGCGAGAGCGUGGGGAGCAAACAGG
This 253-nucleotide ribosomal RNA is filed under the name uncultured organism. Its description in RNAcentral is "partial 16S ribosomal RNA". It matches the Rfam family "Bacterial small subunit ribosomal RNA", at positions 524 to 776 of the family's 1533-position model. The record is from RNAcentral.